This 73-nucleotide transfer RNA is filed under the name Erysipelothrix piscisicarius. Its description in RNAcentral is "tRNA-Gly". It matches the Rfam family "tRNA". Rfam says of the family: Transfer RNA (tRNA) molecules are approximately 80 nucleotides in length. Their secondary structure includes four short double-helical elements and three loops (D, anti-codon, and T loops). The record is from RNAcentral. Lineage: Bacteria; Bacillati; Bacillota; Erysipelotrichia; Erysipelotrichales; Erysipelotrichaceae.
GCAGGUGUAGUUCAAUGGUAGAACACGACCUUGCCAAGGUUGAGGCGGGGGUUCAAUUCCCUCACCUGCUCCA